Zootermopsis nevadensis is the source of this 993-nucleotide non-coding RNA. Lineage: Eukaryota; Metazoa; Arthropoda; Insecta; Blattodea; Termopsidae. The record is from RefSeq and is a predicted model, not a curated record.
UCCGUGCAAUUGGUUUUUAAACAACUGCAUAUUCAUACAUCUCAGAUAACUCUGAACAUUGCUCCUGGAACUAGCAACUCUUGGAAUAUUACAUAUAAUAACCAGAUUUUAAGAUGCAGAAAUCAGAGACGAUAAAGUUUACGAUUUUGAUCUUGACAUUUCUUCAUCUAAUUUCGUCGAAGACAGUAUUCACUGCAGGCUUCAAAUGUGUGACAGUAGGGAGAUUUCCAAAUUCAGGAAACCUCCAUAAAUAUUAUCAAUGUGUAUACCGCAAUGGCAAAUUGGAACUUGGCGACAUGACGUGCCCGAAUAACCUGUGCUUUGACCCCAAUUCCCGAUUUUGUAUAAACGUUCCUUGUUAAAAAACACCUUAAGUUGCACCAACAACUGGGUCUACAACUACAGCUACUCCGACGCCUAACUCGUGCGCAGGACCUGAAUUCCUUCUGCAACUCCGUCACAUUAUACAAUUACUUCGCAGAUGUUAAUAUACCUAUCCUACCAGACAACAAAAAUUAUCCCUUUUUUAAAGUAGAUUCACUUCAUCAUCCACUUUUAUAUAUUCAUUAUCUAAUGUUGAUUUGUCAUACCAGAAUACACCUCUGGCUCUACCCACGUAUGAUUCAAAUUACAAACUGAGAAUUUAUUUUAUUAUCCAAUUUAUAUUUCUUCCCAGUUUGCUACAAUAUAAAUAAUACGUCUCUGUCAAUUUGUGUAAUGGAAACUUUAAAAUUAUAAUGUACAGAUAUUUAUAAGUUUGUAACGUAAUAAAUAUAAAACGUUAUAAAAAUGGAGCUUGCUUAGAAAAUUACAGUUUAUAUUAUAAUAAACUCGCUGGUGUCAGAUUAAUUUUUUGUUGUUGUAUUUUUAAGUUAAGUUACUCCUUCUGUAACAAUUUAAUUCUUCAAUGGGCCUGUCAUUAUGAAACAAGCAGAUGUAAUAAGAAAUAGAAAAAUGUUUUGUUCAUCAAUAAAGAGGAACACUGUUAUCAAA